RNAcentral lists this ribosomal RNA (253 nucleotides) under uncultured bacterium. RNAcentral describes it as "partial 16S ribosomal RNA". It matches the Rfam family "Bacterial small subunit ribosomal RNA", at positions 524 to 776 of the family's 1533-position model. The record is from RNAcentral.
UACGUAGGUGGCAAGCGUUGUCCGGAAUCACUGGGCGUAAAGCGCGCGCAGGCGGCGAUCUACGUCUGGGGUGAAAGCCCGGAGCUCAACUCCGGGACUGCCUUGGAUACGGGAUCGCUUGAGGAUUGGAGAGGCAAGGGGAAUUCCACGUGUAGCGGUGAAAUGCCUAGAGAUGUGGAGGAACACCUGUGGCGAAGGCGCCUUGCUGGCCAAUUACUGACGCUGAGGCGCGAAAGCAUGGGGAGCGAACAGG